UACGUAGGGUGCAAGCGUUAAUCGGAAUUACUGGGCGUAAAGCGUGCGCAGGCGGUUAUGUAAGACAGAUGUGAAAUGCCCGGGCUUAACCUGGGAACUGCAUUUGUGACUGCAUGGCUAGAGUGUGUCAGAGGGGGGUAGAAUUCCACGUGUAGCAGUGAAAUGCGUAGAUAUGUGGAGGAAUACCGAUGGCGAAGGCAGCCCCCUGGGAUAACACUGACGCUCAUGCACGAAAGCGUGGGGAGCAAACAGGAUUAGAUACCCUGGUAGUCCACGCCCUAAACGAUGUCUACUAGUUGUCGGGUCUUAAUUGACUUGGUAACGCAGCUAACGCGUGAAGUAGACCGCCUGGGGAGUACGGUCGCAAGAUUAA
RNAcentral lists this ribosomal RNA (373 nucleotides) under uncultured bacterium. RNAcentral describes it as "bacterial SSU rRNA". It matches the Rfam family "Bacterial small subunit ribosomal RNA", at positions 524 to 897 of the family's 1533-position model. The record is from RNAcentral.